RNAcentral lists this ribosomal RNA (532 nucleotides) under uncultured marine eukaryote. RNAcentral's name for it is "SSU rRNA". It matches the Rfam family "Eukaryotic small subunit ribosomal RNA", at positions 618 to 1153 of the family's 1831-position model. The record is from RNAcentral.
GUUAAAAAGCUCGUAGUCGAAUUUUUAAGGAAAUCAAUUUUAUGUGGUCUUAAUGAACUGCAAAGGGAGAUGAUUUAUCUUAUUUUAUGCUUUUGCACCAUUGGAAUUCGUUUUCUGAUAGUGGAGUAAGUUUGUGUUUACUUUGAGAAAAUUAGAGUGUUCAAAGCAGUCUUACGGCUUUAUAUUAAAGCAUGGAAUGAUAAAUAAUGACAUCGGUAAAUUUUUGUCGGUUUGAGAGACUGAUGUAAUGAUUUAUAGAGUUAGUCGGAGGUAUUAGUAUUUUAUCGUUAGAAGUGAAAUUCUGGGAUCGACAAAAGACUAACAACUGCGAAAGCAUUUACCUAGAAUUUGCUCCUUGAUCAAGAACGUAAGUUGGGGAUCGAAGACGAUCAGAUACCGUCGUAGUCUCAACUUUAAACUAUAUCAGCUAGGGGUUGGCAAAUGUUUAUAUGACUUUGUUAGAACCUUAAGAGAAAUCAAAGCGUUUGGGUUCCGGGGGGAGUAUGGUCGCAAGGCUGAAACCUAAAGGAAU